Molecule: transfer RNA, 59 nt
Filed under: Ondatra zibethicus (muskrat)
Lineage: Eukaryota; Metazoa; Chordata; Mammalia; Rodentia; Cricetidae
Description: tRNA-Ser
Source: RNAcentral
AAGAAAGAAUGCAAGAACUGCUAAUUCCUGCCACCGAACUUAACCAUUCGGCUUUCUUA